CGUGUAGGCGGUUGGUCAAGUCCGGUGUGAAAGCCCGAGGCUUAGCUUCGGAAGUGCAUCGGAAACUAGCCGACUGGAGCGCGAUAGAGGAGGGUGGAAUUCCUGGUGUAGCGGUGAAAUGCGUAGAUAUCAGGAGGAACACCGGCGGCGAAGGCGGCCCUCUGGAUCGUUGCUGACGCUGAGACGCGAAAGCGUGGGGAGCAAACAGGAUUAGAUACCCUGGUAGUCCACGCUGUAAACUAUGGGUACUAGGUGUUCGGGGUAUUGACCCCCUGAGUGCCGCAGUUAACGCAUUAAGUACCCCGCCUGGGGACUACGGCCGCGAAGGUUAAA
Molecule: ribosomal RNA, 333 nt
Filed under: uncultured bacterium
Lineage: Bacteria
Description: bacterial SSU rRNA
Rfam family: Bacterial small subunit ribosomal RNA
Source: RNAcentral